RNAcentral lists this long non-coding RNA (1454 nucleotides) under Equus caballus (horse). Its description in RNAcentral is "lncRNA (ENSECAG00000033653.3)". Lineage: Eukaryota; Metazoa; Chordata; Mammalia; Perissodactyla; Equidae. The record is from RNAcentral.
AGAGGUCUCACCUCUCAACAAGAUGCACCCAGAGCCUAUCAGGUGCUGGUGAUACAACAAUGAGUAUACAAAGGGAGAGAGUAAAAAACAAAAAAGCCUUCUCUCAUGAAGCUUAUCUGAUAGUAGAGAUGAUUCACAUCAUUGUUUUAGCCUCAGCUCCCAUCCACCAUCAGGAAUUUGGCAAUGUUUGUGAUCGAUGAACCAAUCCUAAGAAUAACCAUUACUGUUGAUUUCAAUGACAAUACACAGGAAAAGUUGUGUGACUCAUCUGUCCCUCAGGAUGUCUGAAGCAAUCAAGAUAUUAAUACCUUAGCAUCCAUUGCCAUAAGAACAUGUCAUUCCUUCGUCCAAGAUUUAUGCUACGUAAUAGGGAUGCAAUGAUGGAAAAAAAGAACACAACAGCAAUGAUAAAACCUACAUAAUACACUAACUAGCACAAGUAAGAAUUUCCAUGAAAUUCAAGUAGUAAUGGGAGAAGCACACCAUGCAAUUUAAGAAGAGGCACAGAGUGACCUUCACAUUUCAUUUGGAUUACAGAACCUCAUGAAAUUGUACUUUUUUGUAGAAAUCAAUAGUCUACAACAAACAGAUAUCACCAAAACACUAUAGCUCCAUAUGCCUGCAAAGCUUUGCUGAUCCUCCCAGCAUUUAUUAUGUAUCUGAUUGUGUGGGUGGCCACCCUCAUAAGAGCAGUUGGGACAAAAAUGGUAAAUCUCGUCUUGGAAUUCAAAAGACACCAUAACAGAUGUUAUACAAAAGGAAUGAGAAUACAGAAGGAAGAAAAGAAGAGCUGUUAUGAACCUCUACAGAGAUAAGAUGAAAUGAGAAUGUGGACCAGAGUAUUUCUGUUCAUUGCAUCCCUCACUCCCAAUAACCAUGAGAAUGAUAGGGUGAGGAGGGGACAUCCUCUGGAUAUUUGAAGUGGGCUGGGAAGAAUGGUCUGGACCAUCACCUAUAUCUGAUCCAUCCAGAAAUCCAGGAGUUGGCAGUCUAAGGGUGAUUUUUGUUUCCAAAUGUGGAGCUAGGCAACUGUCUUCUACCACUGGAACAAAAAACCUAGAGAUUACAACCCUGAGAAGGAGGAUCCGCAGGGAUCUGGCCUGGAGAACACCAGAAAUAGGCUGUCGACAUGCUGUAAAAUGUUCUCUCGUGAUGCUGGGCAUCAACAGCGAGCAACAGCUCCCACUCAGCCCCACGAUCAUGAGGGCUGAAUUCCACACUAACACUGCUGGAGGAAUUAGAACACGUCGAAGCAUGAAAGGCUAGAAUGCAGACAUGGGAGCAACUCAACAUCAAACAUGCAGAUGAUGACAACUAACCCGUAGGGAAUAGUAGAACAACAAAAUGGCAGAAACCUGUGUCCUUAAGAGACUCCAUGGAUCAGAGCCACUCUGCUAACCUAGGCCAGCCCAAAUAAAACGUGUCUGAGAAAUAAACUUAUUUAACCUUCUGUA